UCGAUAGUGCCGGUCUCCGGUGCCGCCACCUCAUCAAACAGUUUCCGGAUUUCGGAUAUUCCCGUUGCAACGUACCGCUUCCCAUCCAUGUCUAAAGUACAGAUCGCGUUCUCAGCGUAAAAACGCCAGACGUCGUGUGGCUCGUUGUACCAUUUGGUUAAAAAGCUUCCAACUAGCUGGUGGCCGGCCGCGUUGUCCAGUUCGUAGUCCUCGACCGAUCCCAAGCCAUCGCCGCCGCCGCUAGAAUUCAGCUCCUUCACAAAGGCACGAUGCUCGCGCCGUUCUUCUAGCGGCGGCGGGUCAGUCUGGACUUCGACGGUACUCGAUAAAGCGGGAACAAUAUCUCCGCCGCAACCGUUCGUCCACCAAGAUUUUCGGAAAACCGUUUGUCUCAUUAUAGUGUUACCCAUUUUUGUUUGAUUUUUAUUUGCUGAGUGAAUUAUAACGAUGUUACCUCCACGCAACGAAACAAUUGACAGAGCAGUCGACCGUUGUUAUUAUUGAAACUAUGGCACAACCUUUGGAAAAGUUAUUGGAAAAUUUAUAUUGGAAAAGUCAAAUCAAUGGUCCAGAUCUAGAAUGUUAGUAAUCAAAUAAGUAGGUAUACUAUGGACGUUGACACGUUGUAUGAUAGUAAUAUUAUAUAAUAAAUUCAAAGUGCUGCAGAGAAAUUUCAUUACUUAAAACUCAAAAACAAACCGUAAAAUAAAUCAAUUCCAUUACGAAAACAAUACCAUUACAAAGUUAUAAACGUUCAAGCAAGAUCCUAUACAUUAUUAUGUAUUAUACAUAAAUAGGUUUUAGCUAUGAGCAUUUCUAAAUCGAAAAAUAAGUAAAUUAAAAUUAUCUACUUAUACUAUACCCGAAAUAAUGCGUUAACGACCAACGUAAGUAGGUACAAUGUAAUAAUUUCGAGGAAAUGACCGACAUAAUAACAGACUUGGGUAGUAUUCUGAAUAUUUUUUUUUUAAGUAUUCAAUACGGUAUUUUGAAUACUUCUUACAAGUAUUCUGAAUACAGUAUUCGAAAUACUUUUUUAACGUCCAAUCACACUUAAAAAAUAAUUGUACUACUUUUUUCGUUAUUGAAGCUUUUGCACUUGUAUAUAACUAUAUAAAUAAAACGAGAUUAUUAUAAUAUUCAUUUAUAAACAAUGAAUUGAAAAAAAAUAUGUUUUUGUCAUUGAAAUCUAAAUCUACUAAAAAAAGUAUUCGAAAAAUAUUAUUAUAAAGUAUUUGGAAUAUGUAUUCAAAAUACUUUUAAAAUGUAUUUUACCCAAGUCUGUAUUUAAUUAAUAUAGGCAUACAUUCGGUUUUGCAGUCAUUAGUCACUCAACACCAACUCCAUUUUUAUUUGCUAAUGCAUAAACUCUAUAAUUUUUUCUAAAAAUUAUUUUAAAGUAGUUAUCGUAUAAAAUAAUAACAAAAUCGUUUACAGCGUUUUCCCUCAUUGACUCAGUAUUAAGGCUGACCAUUCAUGGCAAUUGAGGAAUAUG
Long non-coding RNA from Aphis gossypii (cotton aphid), 1495 nucleotides. RefSeq lists it as uncharacterized. NCBI's taxonomy places the organism in Eukaryota, Metazoa, Arthropoda, Insecta, Hemiptera, Aphididae. The transcript has 4 exons. The record is from RefSeq and is a predicted model, not a curated record.